AUGUACCACUCGUACACUGCGGUUCCUGCGCGCCCCCCUGGCGGCUGCUCGCUACGUUCUGCUAGCC
Molecule: small RNA, 67 nt
Filed under: Xanthomonas axonopodis
Lineage: Bacteria; Pseudomonadati; Pseudomonadota; Gammaproteobacteria; Lysobacterales; Lysobacteraceae
Also listed under: 23 other names
Description: sX9 sRNA
Rfam family: Xanthomonas sRNA sX9
Source: RNAcentral